GCCAGAACACCUGAGUGUUCCGCAUGGUUCUGACUGACAGAACUACUGUAGUUUGUUUCAUUUGGACCAGAACCAGAACGGUCUGGUUCCGAUCAGAGCCUUAAUCUGCUAGGCUCGGUUCUCCUGGAUCGCCUCCUCAGGCUUUUAUUGUGAAAGCCUCACAGGAAGUCGCCGUCUGCCCUCCUCGGAACUGUUCGGCCAUGUUCGGUUCCGCUCGGCUUAUUUUCAUCUCCGCCUCCAGAUGAGUGGAGCGAGAAGAAGUUCGGAGCCCGCGGAGCUCAGAGCUGCUGCGGAGCCGAACCGAAACCGGAUCUGGACCUGAGCGGGACCGGAAGAUGGAGCGGGACCGGGACCACGGCGGAGCCGGGACACAGAGAGCGGGACCGAGGCUGUGAGUGGACCAGGACCGCAGCGGGACCGGGACGGUGACAGAACCCAGAGCAGCAGUGAGAGGUUCGGCCGGUGGGACAGCAGCGGUUCCGGGCAGCAGAACCUCUUCAAAGUGGACUUCUGUCGGCCGCAGACAGGAACAUGUACCAGGUCCAGCUGGUGGGCGAGCAGCAGGAGAGCCGGCCUCUGCUGAGUCCCUCCAUCGAUGACUUCCUCUCAGAGAGCCGACCCCCGACCUCCAGCCGACCCCCGACCUCCAACACAGCAGUUCUGUCCACGG
This is a long non-coding RNA of Fundulus heteroclitus (mummichog), 670 nucleotides long. RefSeq lists it as uncharacterized. Lineage: Eukaryota; Metazoa; Chordata; Actinopteri; Cyprinodontiformes; Fundulidae. The transcript has 3 exons. The record is from RefSeq and is a predicted model, not a curated record.